AUACGGAGGGUGCAAGCGUUAUUCGGAAUCACUGGGCGUAAAGGACGCGUAGGCGGGUUGGCAAGUCAGAUGUGAAAUCCUACAGCUUAACUGUAGAACUGCAUUUGAAACUGCUAACCUAGAGUAUGGGAGGGGGUGAUGGAAUUAGUGGUGUAGGGGUAAAAUCCGUAGAUAUCACUAGGAAUACCGAAAGCGAAGGCGAUCUCCUGGAACAUAACUGACGCUAAGGCGUGAAAGCGUGGGGAGCAAACAGGAUUAGAUACCCCAGUAGUCC
RNAcentral lists this ribosomal RNA (274 nucleotides) under uncultured bacterium. RNAcentral describes it as "partial 16S ribosomal RNA". It matches the Rfam family "Bacterial small subunit ribosomal RNA", at positions 523 to 796 of the family's 1533-position model. The record is from RNAcentral.